GAGCAAGGGCGUCAAAUUUAAAAAAAAAAAUGGCGUGAUUUGCAUUGAAGGUUGGCGAUAUCAAUUAUCUAAGCGAUUCUCCGUGCCUAUCAAUUUUAUUUUCAGUUUUGAUUAUGGCCUCGAACAAGUCGCGACAUU
Molecule: small nucleolar RNA, 138 nt
Filed under: Cephalotus follicularis
Lineage: Eukaryota; Viridiplantae; Streptophyta; Magnoliopsida; Oxalidales; Cephalotaceae
Source: RNAcentral